Molecule: small RNA, 78 nt
Filed under: Flavobacterium pectinovorum
Lineage: Bacteria; Pseudomonadati; Bacteroidota; Flavobacteriia; Flavobacteriales; Flavobacteriaceae
Description: Flavo-1 RNA
Rfam family: Flavo-1 RNA
Source: RNAcentral
CCCUAGCCCCGAUGGGAGGGAAAAUCCUUUUGUGGUGGGGUUCACCACAAAAGAUUGGAAGGAACAGCGGGAACAGCU